GAUGAACGCUGGCGGCGUGCCUAAUACAUGCAAGUCGAGCGAACAGACGAGGAGCUUGCUCCUCUGACGUUAGCGGCGGACGGGUGAGUAACACGUGGAUAACCUACCUAUAAGACUGGGAUAACUUCGGGAAACCGGAGCUAAUACCGGAUAAUAUAUUGAACCGCAUGGUUCAAUAGUGAAAGACGGUUUUGCUGUCACUUAUAGAUGGAUCCGCGCCGCAUUAGCUAGUUGGUAAGGUAACGGCUUACCAAGGCAACGAUGCGUAGCCGACCUGAGAGGGUGAUCGGCCACACUGGAAGUGAGACACGGUCCAGACUCCUACGGGAGGACGCAGUAGGGAAUCUUCCGCAAUGGGCGAAAGCCUGACGGAGCAACGCCGCGUGAGUGAUGAAGGUCUUCGGAUCGUAAAACUCUGUUAUUAGGGAAGAACAAAUGUGUAAGUAACUAUGCACGUCUUGACGGUACCUAAUCAGAAAGCCACGGCUAACUACGUG
RNAcentral lists this ribosomal RNA (497 nucleotides) under uncultured bacterium. RNAcentral's name for it is "partial 16S ribosomal RNA". It matches the Rfam family "Bacterial small subunit ribosomal RNA", at positions 28 to 507 of the family's 1533-position model. The record is from RNAcentral.